Molecule: non-coding RNA, 716 nt
Organism: Seriola dumerili (greater amberjack)
Lineage: Eukaryota; Metazoa; Chordata; Actinopteri; Carangiformes; Carangidae
Source: the annotation of a RefSeq genome assembly
CUCUUAUCACGGUGACACUGAAACAGCCAAGUGCUAAAGUAAUUUUCAGCAACAACCAAGCAGAGCUGGAAUGUGUCAUCACUGGACAAGACCGAAACAUUGUCAGUAACACUGACAUCACAUGGGAAAUUGACGGAGUAAAUGUGACUGGCAGCAUUACUCCGACAUCGUCUGGCGGCGGGCAGUACAGCAAAACCAGCAAGAUGACUCGUACUUAUGAUGAGUGGAAGACAGUCAACAAAGUACGCUGUUCUGCCAUUAGAGCACAUAUGACACCAGUUAUUCAAGAUCUGACUGUCCACAAAGGAGAUGGCAGUCAGCCAGAAGUGUCAGUCAACAUCCUCCCAGUGGAGAACAUCGGCAAAGAAGACUCAGCUAAGGUCACUCUGGUGUGUCUGGUCUCCAGUCCUGUGCAGCAGGAUUACUACAUUGCGUGGUCAGAACAUGAUGGACAAAAAUCCCCCAUCUAUGCUGAUGGCGUUGACUUCCCGCCACAAAAGACCGAACAUGGCUACUCAGUCACAAGUGUUUACACCACCACCAACAAAAACUGGAAAGCGAAUUUCAUUUACAACUGCAACAUCAAGUCUGCUGGCACAAAUCGCUCCUUCAACUCUCAAGUGUCUAAGGCUAAGGCCAUGGAUUCAAAUCUGAAUUUUGCUCUGAGCUGCACAGACGAUGCCGGUGAAGAAGAUGAGUUCAGCAGUCUGUGGUCC